This is a long non-coding RNA of Nyctereutes procyonoides (raccoon dog), 1059 nucleotides long. RefSeq lists it as uncharacterized. The record is from RefSeq and is a predicted model, not a curated record. NCBI's taxonomy places the organism in Eukaryota, Metazoa, Chordata, Mammalia, Carnivora, Canidae. The transcript is spliced from 5 exons.
UUUGACUGAAGCUGGUCCUUGGUUAGUGAAAUUGUAUUUGGCAGAUAAUGGCAUAGAUGGAAAAGGAAAAGAAGGAGAAAAUGGCUUGUUGGAAUUCACUCAGAUUUUAAUAUGCCUGAUCACAUACUCUGCUCACUUAAGGGAAAUUGACCUUGGAAACAAUGUCCUAGGAGAAACGGCUGCUGCUCACAUACUUGAAGCACUGAGAGCCAGAAAGACAGGUAAACUCCCAAUCUUAAAAAUUAUAAUCACUCCUCAAGUCUCUUCGGACACCUUCAAAUCUAUUUGGAAAAAUACCAAGAAAUCGAGUAUUACCCGUAAAAAGAAGAAAAAGGCUAAAUACUGAAUAUGGAUGCUAUAUAUCUUUAUGGAAGUUAUCCAUUCCAUGGCCAACCGGACAUGCCUAGAAAGAUAUUGCUUGUUCUAUAAUAGUAAUUUUCACUGGAACCAAGCCACUUUCAAAUUCUAAAAUUUGAUGACUAUUUAAUGAAAGUUCAAAAUAGUGUGAAUCCUACUAUGCUUGUCAUUUUCUAAAAUGUGGGUUUCACAAGUUGGCCUUAGUUAAAAAUAGAUAGGAUUCCUCUCUGGGGCUUCUCAUAUGCAUGUGAAAUUUAUGAUUUGAAGGAAAUCAUGAUCUUUAUCUAAGAAAGAAAGAAUCUUCUUUCAUAAGUAUAUAUACAGUUGAACAGUAGGAAUAUUUGGAAAUAACCACUUUCUGAAAGAUGAUCCCCAAAAUGGCGAUCUUCCCCAAAUGAGGAAACUUCUAAUCACUUUGCCCUCUCUUCCCCUAAUGAAGAUGUCUGCUCCAUGAGGAAGGGAAGAGGUGUGGUUGACCAAUGGAUGGAUGAUAAGUUGGAUUAACUGGAAGUUAUAUGCCAUGAUGAUAUGGUGUGAAUGAAAAGCCUGGACUGGGGAAUGAAAUAGACUGGAAUCCUCUGUAGAAAACUGCUGAUUUCCAGUGCCAAAAGAGUGGAAGAAACACAGAAAGUGCCGUGAUUUCCCGGGCAGUGCAUGAAUAUACGUUGGCAAGGAGUGAAGAUGAGUAAGUUUUUUCUAAGU